Molecule: ribosomal RNA, 490 nt
Filed under: uncultured bacterium
Lineage: Bacteria
Description: partial 16S ribosomal RNA
Rfam family: Bacterial small subunit ribosomal RNA
Source: RNAcentral
AUUGAACGCUGGCGGCAGGCCUAACACAUGCAAGUCGAACGGUAACAGAAAGCAGCUUGCUGCUUUGCUGACGAGUGGCGGACGGGUGAGUAAUGUCUGGGAAACUGCCUGAUGGAGGGGGAUAACUACUGGAAACGGUAGCUAAUACCGCAUAACGUCGCAAGACCAAAGAGGAGGACCUUCGGGCCUCUUGCCAUCGGAUGUGCCCAGAUGGGAUUAGCUAGUAGGUGGGGUAACGGCUCACCUAGGCGACGAUCCCUAGCUGGUCUGAGAGGAUGACCAGCCACACUGGAACUGAGGCACGGUCCAGACUCCUACGGGAGGCAGCAGUGGGGAAUAUUGCACAAUGGGCGCAAGCCUGAUGCAGCCAUGCCGCGUGUAUGAAGAAGGCCUUCGGGUUGUAAAGUACUUUCAGCGGGGAGGAAGGGAGUAAAGUUAAUACCUUUGCUCAUUGACGUUACCCGCAGAAGAAGCACCGGCUAACUCCGUG